Molecule: long non-coding RNA, 389 nt
Filed under: Bemisia tabaci
Lineage: Eukaryota; Metazoa; Arthropoda; Insecta; Hemiptera; Aleyrodidae
Description: lncRNA ENSASIAIIG011096
Source: RNAcentral
GACCUCGAAAGUGAAAACGGUCGACUGACCAAAACAGAUUGUAUCAACUGCAUACUAAAUGAAGCAAAGAAGCAUAUUUUCCGCCGCCGAGCACCUGGGGAGAAUCCACCUCGUAAAUCGAAGAAACCGAAGAAAAAGAAAAAUCCAAAAGAAGGCCUCUGCGCCUGCUGUGAUCAGAAGAUAGGUUGUCACUUGGAUGGGUCGUACGGCAUGAUUACCGAAUAUAUUUGCAGUAAGGAAUGUCCCCACUGCUAUCGAAAUUGCAUGAACUAUUACAACAACGGAGCUCACCCUUGCCCAGGCGACGGUCCAUGCGACUGAAAACUGGUAUUACCCUGUAUAAACGAAUGCAUGAAUUUUAAAUACAUUUUUGCUCUUUCUUCUUCUUU